RNAcentral lists this ribosomal RNA (250 nucleotides) under uncultured bacterium. RNAcentral's name for it is "partial 16S ribosomal RNA". It matches the Rfam family "Bacterial small subunit ribosomal RNA", at positions 779 to 1027 of the family's 1533-position model. The record is from RNAcentral.
UAGAUACCCUGGUAGUCCACGCCGUAAACGUUGGGCACUAGGUGUGGGAUCCAUUCCACGGGUUCCGUGCCGUAGCUAACGCAUUAAGUGCCCCGCCUGGGGAGUACGGCCGCAAGGCUAAAACUCAAAGGAAUUGACGGGGGCCCGCACAAGCGGCGGAGCAUGCGGAUUAAUUCGAUGCAACGCGAAGAACCUUACCAAGCUUGACAUAUACAGGAAUCAUGCAGAGAUGUGUGCGCCCUUUUGGGUC